CCGCUCUAUAUAUACACAGGUGUGUGGCUUCACCUCAGUCUCGUGCUUUCGGCUCUUAGCUCUCCUCGUGGAGGUGACUGCAUCCGGGCGUGCUGGAUCUGGUGUGGUAAAUCGGGGCGCAUGUAACAUCGCUGGUACAGCGACGGCUGUGACGCUGGGAGACGGGCUCAGCGUGCCGUGGGUGCGUCCGUGUCGGCGGGGUUCAGCGAGCCUCGGCAACAGUCCAGUCCCUGGUGGUGGUUUCACGAGUCCCUUUUUCGUUGGUGUGUCGUGUCACAGGUGUGGGAUUAUUUUUGGACCCCUUUUCUCUUUGAUUUUCUGAUUCUUGCCUGCCGCCAUGGUAAGCCGGCCUACCUCUUUAAUAUUUAAGUUGAGUUUUUCUAUUUUCCUAUUUUAACCUGGUGGCCUUGACCCUUACUAAUAAUUAAUAUUGUAAUUGAAUAAAGAUAUUAU
Molecule: long non-coding RNA, 453 nt
Organism: Amphiprion ocellaris (clown anemonefish)
Lineage: Eukaryota; Metazoa; Chordata; Actinopteri; Pomacentridae
Exons: 3
Source: RefSeq, a predicted model, not a curated record